GACGAACGCUGGCGGCGUGCCUAACACAUGCAAGUCGAACGAAGUUUUUAUGGAAUGCGACUUCGGUCAAAUGAAGUUUAAACUUAGUGGCGGACGGGUGAGUAACGCGUGAGCAACCUGCCUUUCAGAGGGGGAUAACGUUUGGAAACGAACGCUAAUACCGCAUGAUAUAACGUAAUCGCAUGAUUGUGUUAUCAAAGGAGCAAUCCGCUGAAAGAUGGGCUCGCGUCCGAUUAGGCAGUUGGUGGGGUAACGGGCCCACCAAACCGACGAUCGGUAGCCGAACUGAGAGGUUGAACGGCCACAUUGGAACUGAGAUACGGUCCAGACUCCUACGGGAGGCAGCAGUGGGGAAUAUUGGGCAAUGGGCGAAAGCCUGACCCAGCAACGCCGCGUGAAGGAAGAAGGUCUUCGGAUUGUAAAC
This 424-nucleotide ribosomal RNA is filed under the name uncultured bacterium. Its description in RNAcentral is "bacterial SSU rRNA". It matches the Rfam family "Bacterial small subunit ribosomal RNA", at positions 28 to 430 of the family's 1533-position model. The record is from RNAcentral.